RNAcentral lists this long non-coding RNA (516 nucleotides) under Miscanthus lutarioriparius. Its description in RNAcentral is "MluLR14468". Lineage: Eukaryota; Viridiplantae; Streptophyta; Magnoliopsida; Poales; Poaceae. The record is from RNAcentral.
UUUUUUUUAUCUAUAUUAUUCAUUCUCGUCAAAACUCGAUCGGUUUCUUUCUUUUAGUAAUAUACGUGUAUAUAUGCUUAAGCUUAAUCUGCUAAUGUCAAACACUAAGACGAAAAUGUUAGCUUUUCCAACGCAAAAACCUUUAUUUUGGGCCGGCUGAUGGUUACUUGUACGGUUGUGCAUCUUCAUCAGACGUGCAUAGUUUGAACUGUACAUCUAGAAACAGUGCAUCAGACUUAGCGUUGAUUUUGUCAAAGGAUUACUGCUAGUAUUUUGAAGUGGUUUCUUCAGCCUCAAUGCUCCCAAUGCUCUGACCUUUGUAUUAUUGGAGCAGGAAUUUUAGUUCCUAGCACAUGCCUGGUGCACUUUCACCGGACGUUUAGGUUGCAGAAUCCAAACAUUUCACGAUACUGCCGGCCACGUUUGUGUUCUGUUUCAAAGACUCAUCUGUACUGUACGUCUUCUCCCUGCAGUCUGGCUGCUGCAAGCCCCCCACCAGCUGCGGCUACACAUACU